AUACGUAGGCAGCAAGCGUUGUUCGGAAUUACUGGGCGUAAAGGGUGCGUAGGCGGUUAUCUAAGUUUGGUGUGAAAUCUCCCGGCUUAACUGGGAGGGUGCGCUGAAGACUGGAUGACUUGAGUAUGGGAGAGGAAAGCGGAAUUCCUGGUGUAGCGGUGAAAUGCGUAGAGAUCAGGAGGAACACCUGCGGUGUAGACGGCUUUCUGGACCAAGACUGACGCUGAGGCACGAAAGCGUGGGUAGC
This 247-nucleotide ribosomal RNA is filed under the name uncultured bacterium. RNAcentral describes it as "partial 16S ribosomal RNA". It matches the Rfam family "Bacterial small subunit ribosomal RNA", at positions 523 to 769 of the family's 1533-position model. The record is from RNAcentral.